This is a long non-coding RNA of Ruditapes philippinarum (Manila clam), 468 nucleotides long. RefSeq lists it as uncharacterized. NCBI's taxonomy places the organism in Eukaryota, Metazoa, Mollusca, Bivalvia, Venerida, Veneridae. The transcript is spliced from 3 exons. The record is from RefSeq and is a predicted model, not a curated record.
AGAGCCAAGUCCAAAAUGCAGAGAGCCAACUACAAAAAGCAGAGAGCCAACUGCAAAAAGCAGAGAGCCAACUACAAAAAGCAGAGGAAAGAAAAAACGCACUUCAGGCUACGGAAACUGCAUUAAAGGAUCAAAUUGAUAGAGCUCAUGUAUAUGGUUACAGGAAAACGAAAAAACAAAUAAUAAUAGAUUCGCUUCAACAAUCUUUGUCUACAGCCCGGAAUGAAAGAAAUGAAGUAAAAAAGACGCUUUCCAAGGAAAUCGACGAAUUGAAAAUUGAAAUCGAGAAAUUGAAGAAAGCACCCAAAGAACAAGAAAAACGGUAUAGUGUUUAAGUUGAGAAAUAGAUUAACAUGUAAUUUGCAUUUUAGCUAAUCUGAGUACUAGUGCUCAAUGAGAGCUUUUUUGAUACGCUUUUGUCCGUUCAGAGUUUGUCAUCGGUCGUUAACAUUUUUACUUAAAAAGGAG